This 299-nucleotide small nuclear RNA is filed under the name Oryctolagus cuniculus (rabbit). Its description in RNAcentral is "7SK RNA". It matches the Rfam family "7SK RNA". Rfam says of the family: 7SK was discovered as an abundant small nuclear RNA in the mid-70s but a possible function has only recently been suggested. Two independent studies have found that 7SK RNA binds the CDK9/cyclin T complex (known as elongation factor P-TEFb). Lineage: Eukaryota; Metazoa; Chordata; Mammalia; Lagomorpha; Leporidae. The record is from Rfam by way of RNAcentral.
GGUUGUGAGGGCGUUCCGGCUGCGACAUCUGUCACCCCUUUAAUCGCCAGGGUUGAUUUGGCUGAUCUGGCUGCCUAGCCGGGUGUCCCCUUCCUCCCUCACCGCUCCAAGUGCGUCCCUCCUGAAGCUGCGUGCUCAGUCGAAGAGGACGACCUUCCCCACUAGGGGAGGACCGGUCUUCAGUCCAGGGUAUAUGAGUAGCUGCGCUCCCCUGCUAGAACCUCCAAACAAGCUCUCAAGUAUGUAAUGAGGCCCCUACUGCCAUUUAGAAAGGUCUUGCUCUGGCUAUGCCUGCAACA